GCGAGAAAGCGGGGCAACUUCGUGAGUACAGCGGCGUACGGGUGAGUAACACGUGGGUAAUCUACCUCUUAGUGGGGAAUAACCCUGGGAAACCGGGGCUAAUACCGCAUAAUCCUGUGAAGGGAAAGCAGCAAUGCGCUGAGAGAGGAGCCCGCGGCCGAUUAGCUAGUUGGUGAGGUAACGGCUCACCAAGGCAAAGAUCGGUAGCCGGCCUGAGAGGGCACACGGCCACACUGGCACUGAAACACGGGCCAGACUCCUACGGGAGGCAGCAGUGGGGAAUCUUGCACAAUGGGGGCAACCCUGAUGCAGCGACGCCGCGUGAGCGAUGAAGCCCUUCGGGGUGUAAAGCUCUUUCGGCCGGAACGAUAAUGACGGUACCGGAGGAAGAAGCUGCGGCUAACUACGUGCCAGCAGCCGCGGUAAUACGUAGGCAGCAAGCGUUGUUCGGAGUUACUGGGCGUAAAGAGUGCGUAGGCGGUGACCUAAGUUCGGUGUGAAAUCUCCCGGCUUAACUGGGAGGGUGCGCCGAAAACUGGGAUGCUGGAGUGUGGGAAAGGCAAGCGGAAUUCCUGGUGUAGCGGUGAAAUGCGUAGAUAUCAGGAGGAACACCGGCGGUGUAGACGGCUUGCUAGACCAUAACUGACGCUGAGGCACGAAAGCGUGGGUAGCAAACAGGAUUAGAUACCCUGGUAGUCCACGCCCUAACGAUGCAUACUUGGUGUGGGCAGUUCAUUCUGUCCGUGCC
This 748-nucleotide ribosomal RNA is filed under the name uncultured bacterium. RNAcentral's name for it is "bacterial SSU rRNA". It matches the Rfam family "Bacterial small subunit ribosomal RNA", at positions 66 to 847 of the family's 1533-position model. The record is from RNAcentral.